AUUACCACCAAAUUCUGCAAUCCUUGUCAAAAUUAAUAAAUAUACACAUUUGUGUAAAAUUAUGUACAAUUUUAUACUAAUGUGUGGAACAGAAUACAGAUACAUUUGUGAAUUCGGUGGAAGUAACAUGUAAGGUCAAGAUGAUGUGACCAUGUGAACGUUCCACAUCAUCAAUACAGCUUAUUAAGAAUUUAAAAAUAGGGUAACAUUGGAGGUGAAAACAUUUGUGUAACCCGCAAAAGGAGGUUCAAUCAUGAAUGGUCCUCUUAUUGAUUCCAGAUUGUUAAAUGUUUCCCACUCAAGUCUUUUCUUCCCGGAAAUUCGAGGUUUGUGCUCGCUUCUUAACGUACGCAGGUCUCAUUCAUAGAGAAAAAUGGCUGACUGAAACAUAUUACAGUAUUUGCUCUCAGUAUCGUGGUGAAAUUUUUGAUUCUCAAUUAACUCUCUUCUGGAUUAAAGAUUGAUUUCUCUGAGAAAUUGAGAACCAGUAACAGCAAAGGAAUUCAAUACUGAUACUGUGUAUUGAAAAGUAUUCAGCAUGGAAGCUUGCUGUGCUUAUGGGUGCACAAACAGAUCUUGAAAACUGAUUCCAGGCAUAUUAUUUCACAGGAAUUGCCAGUGCUUCAAAGCAGUGUAUGGGGUAAACCAGUUAAGGCCUCUCUUACUUCCUACCUCCAUGGAAUUAAUGGAGUUUUCAAAUGGGAAACCUACCUGGCAGAAUGCUUCGAUCUAUAUUUCUACAAUAAAAUAUUGGACUCUGAAACUGAAAAAAAUUGAAAGUGAAAAGGACAUUUAAAGAUUUUAACGUAAAAUGCCAAAACGAAAUUAAUAGCCCUUCUGGGCGAACAUCGUUUGGGCUAAAAAAAGAAAAGGAAAGGAAAGAGACAUCUUCGGAAGCAGCAAUAGAAGGUGACUGUAUAGAAGUCUGUUCAGAGGAAGAGGAGAUGAACAUAUUCCUUUAAUCUGCGAAACUAGUGCCAAAUAGAGUAAGGUGAAAAGCUUCAUAUAGUAAUCAUAUCCUGGUAAAGCAGUAGCCAUCUGCAGCAAAGCAUUUUUAAUGGCAAUGUGAUGUUCUGCUUUAGAAGCAUCUUAAAGCGUAGACAGCAUAAAUGGACAAAUUGUGAGUGAAACAUUGGACCAUUGAGCCUCAAGAGGAAUCAAGUAAAAUUAUACAUAAAGUACUGCCAUAAAUUUUAAAUAAAAAAUCAUUUGUGGUCUAGGAAUGAAUUAAUCUAUUUUACAUAAAUUCUUGUGCGGAAAAUAAUUUCGGUUUGUGAACAUUUGGGAUGACGUAUUGCCUUGCAUGACAUACACACAUAGUUGACAAAAUGAUGCCAAAGCAGCUACAUUAACAUUUCCACCUUGUCAUAAGCCAUCUGCAUCAUUCUGGUGAAUGCAUUAUCACAGCGUAUGAAUGCUAAUAAUGUUUUUGAUGAUCAUCAUAUUCUUUAAUUAAAAUUUUUUUUUAACUUGCAUAUACUGUUGGAAUGAUGCCAUAGGACAAUUUAUAUUUCUAAUUUUUAGACAAUUCAUUAUUAAAAACAUUAGUCUAUUGGGACCUCAUUUUGUAUGUCAUUUGCUUUUUGAUAUGGAAAUACGGUACUCUACCAAAUCUAUAAUAGCAUCAGUGCUUCAGAUGAUAAAGCUGUCAUUAAUAUUCUUUUAGUACUUUGUACAAUAUCUAAAUGUGAAGUUCAUAUACAUAUGAAUUUGCUGAAUCCUGUUUUUAAUAUUAUUGAAUCUAAUAGAGGGUUAAAAUGCUAUCUUGUUGUUUCCAAGGGAAAAAUUUUGCUGUAAGCUACAAGAGGUCAGGAAAAUUAUUUUGUGCUGUAUUAAAGGAAAAGAACUGCUUAUUUAUCAGAAUUGCUUAUUUAUGAUAUGCAGUCUCUAAUUAGACUAUCUGAAUUUUGAUAAAUUUUAUUCUAUGUAAAUUCACGCAAAAUGUUUUCAAAAAGAAUUAUUUAAUUAAUAAAAUCCCAUUUCUGUUAGAUUGUAUUUUAUAUUCUCUUUGUAUGUAAAAUGUUAUCUAAGGAACAUUUUAAUGUUUGUGUGUAGAUACUACUUUUCAAAAUAUUUAUUUUUAUUUUGUUGUUUUUAACCAUACAUUGUAUUUGAAGGGGAACAUUUGAUGCUGUUUGUACUGUGCAUAUUUACUGUUUGUACAAUAUUUUUAUAAAGUUUAUUAAAUUAAAAUAUAGAUGUUGUAAAGUAA
Molecule: long non-coding RNA, 2212 nt
Filed under: Stegodyphus dumicola
Lineage: Eukaryota; Metazoa; Arthropoda; Arachnida; Araneae; Eresidae
Description: uncharacterized LOC118204199
Source: RNAcentral